GAAUAUAGCUCAGUUGGUAGAGCAUGAGAUUUGUCAUCUCAGGGUCAUGGGUUCAAGCCCCACGUUGGACA
Non-coding RNA from Podarcis lilfordi (Lilford's wall lizard), 71 nucleotides. The record is from the annotation of a GenBank genome assembly. NCBI's taxonomy places the organism in Eukaryota, Metazoa, Chordata, Lepidosauria, Squamata, Lacertidae.